Molecule: ribosomal RNA, 252 nt
Filed under: uncultured bacterium
Lineage: Bacteria
Description: partial 16S ribosomal RNA
Rfam family: Bacterial small subunit ribosomal RNA
Source: RNAcentral
ACGGAGGAUCCGAGCGUUAUCCGGAUUUAUUGGGUUUAAAGGGAGCGUAGGCGGAAGCUUAAGUCAGCCUGUGAAAGUUUGCGGCUCAACCGUAAAAUUGCAGUUGAUACUGGGUUUCUUGAGUGCAUUAGAGGUAUGCGGAAUUCGUGGUGUAGCGGUGAAAUGCUUAGAUAUCACGAAGAACUCCAAUUGCGAAGGCAGCAUACUAGACUGUAACUGACGCUGAUGCUCGAAAGUGUGGGUAUCAAACAG